Molecule: RNA transcript, 3449 nt
Organism: Cheilinus undulatus (humphead wrasse)
Lineage: Eukaryota; Metazoa; Chordata; Actinopteri; Labriformes; Labridae
Gene: flvcr1
Gene name: FLVCR heme transporter 1
Exons: 11
Source: RefSeq, a predicted model, not a curated record
GAAGAGGGAGUGAUGGUAGAGAGAGAGGAAGACAGAGAGAGUGAUGGUAGAGAGACAAAGAGAGGGAGGAAGAGGGAGGAGAGAGAGAGGACAGCAUGCUGAACCAGUACCCGGACUAGAGACUGUAGUAAAACCAGAAACCUGCUAAGAUAUUGAUGUGACCUGACUCUGGGUGAUCUAGUCCCUGAAGGACCUGAACCUGAUCUAAAGGGACCGGAUGAGGAAACCUCCGUGUUCAGCUCUCCCUCUCUUCCCGCCGCGCCCCUCGCCUCCGUCUACCGGCUCCGUCAAAGGAAACUAACGAGCAUCAUGGUGGCGGGCGAGCUCGUGCAGGAGCAUCUGCGCGCGGACUCCGGCGCACCUGACGACAUCACGGUGGACAGGAAGACCGCGGAUCCGGAGGGAGCGACCGCGGAGCCGUCAUACGGAGCCGUACCGACCUACGAGGCGGUCUACUCCCCACAGGAGGACCGGGAGGAGGAGAAGGAGGCUCAGCCGGAUGAGAAAGAGGCGAUGCUGCGUCCCGGAGGAGGAGAGGAGGCGGAGGAGAAGGUGUUAGAGACCAGACUUUACCGGCGCCGGUUCGCCGUGCUCGUGGUCUUUAGUCUGUACUCUCUAGUGAACGCGUUCCAGUGGAUCCAGUACAGCAUCAUCACCAACGUCUUCAUGAAGUACUAUGGCGUCAGCAGCGACAAGGUGGACUGGCUCUCCAUCGUCUACAUGGUCGCCUACGUGCCCCUCAUCUUCCCGGCUACCUGGCUCCUGGACAGGAAGGGUCUGCGUCUCACGGCCCUGCUGGGAGCCGGCCUUAACUGCGCAGGCGCCUGGCUCAAAUGCGCCAGCGUGAGCCCCGAGCUGUUCGGAGUCACCGUCACCGCGCAGGUCAUCUGCUCCGUGGCGCAGGUGUUCAUCCUCGGCCUGCCCUCCAGGGUCGCCUCGGUGUGGUUCGGACCUCGGGAGGUUUCCACCGCGUGCGCCACGGCCGUGCUUGGGAACCAGCUCGGAACAGCCAUUGGUUUCCUGCUGCCUCCAGUUUUGGUUCCUAACACUCCAGAAAACAUGGAGCUGACAGGUCACAAUAUCAGCAUCAUGUUUUAUGGAACAGCAGCUGUCUCAACUGUACUUUUCCUUCUCACUGUCGUAGUUAUAAAGGACCGACCUGACCUUCCUCCUAGUCACGCCCAGGCUGUCCUACCAGACUGUCCUCCUGAGGAUUACUCCUACAGACAAUCCAUCCUCAACCUGGCUAAGAACAAAGCGUUUGUUCUCCUGCUCAUCAGCUACGGAAUAAUGACCGGCUCCUUCUACUCUGUCUCUACACUGCUCAAUCAGAUGAUCAUGGCCUGCUACAAGAACCAGGAGUUGAAUGCUGGGAGGAUUGGUUUGACCCUGGUUGUUGCUGGGAUGGUUGGCUCUAUCCUCUGUGGCCUGUGGUUGGACCAUACAAAGACAUACAAGAUCACCACUCUCAUCGUCUACAUCCUGUCCUUCCUGGGAAUGGUGGUCUUCACGCUCACGCUGAAUCUCAACAACAUCUACCUGGUCUUCUUCACCGCUGGAGUGCUUGGGUUCUUCAUGACCGGGUACCUCCCUCUGGGAUUUGAGUUUGGAGUAGAGAUCACGUACCCGGAGUCUGAGGGAACAUCGUCUGGACUGCUCAAUGCUUUCGCUCAGAUCUUUGGGAUCAUUUUCACUCUGAUUCAGGGAAAGCUGACCACAGACCAGGGCCCACUGGCUGGAAACCUCUUCCUCUGUGCAUGGAUCUUCCUGGGAAUCCUCCUGACUGCCUUAAUCAAGUCAGAGCUGAAAAGACACAACGUCAACAUGGGGGCAAACGGGAACCACCUGUUAGCACUUCCCACCGACUGUCCCGGCGACAGCCCUUUACAGAAGAAAACCAACGGCGUCACGCUGGAGCCCUCUGUCAGCUUCUCCCGUGAGACCUCGCUGUAAGCCCGCCAACUCCCUGGAUCUUUGGAGACACUCAGACGUCUCCAUGCUGCCCUGGGAGACGAGCACGAGAGCAACACGACGGUGAAUUUAUCACAGAGUCUAAGCUCCGCUGAAGGCUGCGGCUCUGGGUGUGAGCUACGUCUGAUCAAGCACAGCCACAACCUGAAGGUGGAGAGACUCGAACCCUCAGACUGUCGGACUCCUUCAGCAUUUCUCUGCAGAAAACACACUUACCUGAAGAAUCACAAGAGCACAGAACUUUAGGUUUCAUUCUGUGGAUCAGUUGGAGGUAUUCAGAAGAAGGAGAUCUAACACACUUUCUUUGUACUGUAGGAAGAGCAUGUGCUCUGAUUUUACUGUAUGAAAUCUGGUUCCUAGUAGAAGACAAGCUGGUCAACAAGCUCCAACUAAGACUCACAGCAGCAGGUGAGACUCCAGGAGCUCAGCUUGGCUCAGACACUGAUGACAGAUGUUCUUACCUUCACACGGCUGUGAACAGACGGAGAUGACUGUGUCUGCUGUAGGAGAACAGGUUCACCUCUGUAGAAACACAAAUCUGCUGCAGAAACCACAGAGGACCAAACAGAACAGGAAUGUGUUCUGAGUUCAGUGCACAAAAGAAACAAACGCACAACUUACAGUUUUUACUGAAAUGCACGAUUUGAGAUGUUUUUAUGCCUAACCCUGUCAUUCUUCCUGGAGGUUAAAGAUGAAGUUAAAGCAGCAAUGUCAGACCUUUCAGUCGGCUUCGUGAAGUGUCAAAGAUAUCAGAAAUAUCAGGGAGGGCUUUUUAUGUAGCUGGUAUUAAUGUUAAUUUAUUUUCAGAUGUGGUUUUAUAAAUUAACUUGUUCUAACUUCUUUCAUAAUAACUGGAUCUGUCUUUAUUCCUUCUUUAUUUGAAUGUCUGGGAUAUUUCCUGUUAGCAUUUGAAGCUCUAACGUUUCUUUGUGCUCAUUUUUAUGUAUUUUAUAAAGCAUUUAAAUGUUUAUAAGUUGGUAUUGGUAUAAGUAUUUAUUCAUUUCUGUUCAUGGCUAUAGAAAUAGCACUGACAAAAAUGUGAAAUGAAAGGAAAUGGAUUUUUCUCUGGUCUGAAAACAAUCUGACAUCUGAGUCUUCUUGACAUUUUUAAAGCAUGUUCAGUCAAAAUCACACAUCUGCCUUCAUUCUGUUUUUUUAUUUUUAUACUGAAACUGAUAUUAAGAUGGAAUGAAAAGUGUCUUCCUUCUGUUUCUGUAUAAAUCCACUGAUCCUGUCAGUGCUGGCAGAGAUUAGACUGAAGACUGUAGACGGACUCUGAGAUGGUGGCAGACUCGGAUUUGUUUGCUUGUUCACGUUAAUAUAAAGUCUGUAAAUGUUUGCUGUCAUGUGAAGAUGUUCGAUUUAUUUUCAGUCAUCCAGACACCACUGGAUGCCAGUCUGUCAGUAAAACUGGAACCACUGUAUGCAGACGACAUUACUCUGUACAUGAGUCAAAGACAAAUCUCAACACUAAAAGA